RNAcentral lists this ribosomal RNA (1302 nucleotides) under Panesthia strelkovi. RNAcentral's name for it is "16S ribosomal RNA". The stretch from base 868 to 1224 matches the Rfam family "Archaeal large subunit ribosomal RNA", at positions 2153 to 2713 of the family's 2987-position model. The record is from RNAcentral. Lineage: Eukaryota; Metazoa; Arthropoda; Insecta; Blattodea; Blaberidae.
AUUUAUGUUAAAUUUACUUGUUUUGUAAAUAUAAUUGUGUAUUUAGAAAAUCAUUUUAUUUGUUUUUGUAUUUGUUAAUGAUAUAAUUUUUUUAGGUAAUAUAUUAUUUGUACUGUGAAGGUUUAUUGGAAUAGUAAUUAAUUAUUAAUUAAGUUGAUUUUAUUUGUUGUACCUUUUGUAUCAGGGUUAAUUAACUAUUUUUUAUGAAUAUUUAAUGUUCUCGAUUUUGUAAGAGUUAAUUUGAUUAUUUUAGUUAUUGUUUUAUAAAUAUUAAUAAUAAUAAAUUGGUAAUGAGAUGUUAAUCGUUUAUAAGGGUAUCUAGUUUUUUGGGAAAUAAAUUUAAUUUACAUUUUUUCUUUAAUUUUUUUCUUUGUAAUUAAGCUUGAGUUAAAAUGAUUAAUAAGGGGGAUAAGCUCUUUUUUAAAUUUCUAUGGAAUAAAGUUUUGUUAGGUUAUGUGGAUUUAAUAAUAAUUAUCAUUAUAAAUUUGUUAAAAUUUUAUUUAACUUUUGGUUGAUUUAAGUUUUUCUAGGUUUUUACUGAAAAUUUUUAAUUAAUUUUAAUUAAUUUUUAUUAUGAUUAAAUUAGUAUAUAAAUUGAUAUUUAAUGGUUUUAUUUUGAUUAAGUUUGAGGAAUUAGGCAAAAAUUUGUUCGCCUGUUUAACAAAAACAUCUCUUCUUGUGUUUAAGUAUGAAGUAUAACCUGCUCAAUGAACUAUUUAAAUGGCCGCGGUAUAUUGACCGUGCAAAGGUAGCAUAAUCAUUAGUCUUUUAAUUGUAGGCUGGAAUGAAUGGUUGGACGAGAUAACAACUUUCUUAGAUUUAUUAAUUUGAAUUUAAUUAUUGAGUCAAAAAGCUCAAAUUUUUUUUUGGGACGAGAAGACCCUAUAGAGUUUAAUAAUUGAUAUAAUUUAUUUUAUUUGAUGUUUAUUUGAAUUAAAUUAAUUGUUUUGUUGGGGUGAUGUAAAGAUAUAAUUAACUCUUUAUAAUAAUUACUUAUGAAUUAAUAUUUUUUUGAUCCAUUUUUAGUGAUUAAAAGACUAAAUUACCUUAGGGAUAACAGCGUAAUCUUUUUUGAGAGUUCUUAUCGACAAAUAAGGAUUGCGACCUCGAUGUUGGAUUAAGAUUAUUUCUGGGUGCAAAAGCUUAGAGGUUAGGUCUGUUCGACCUUUAAAUUCUUACAUGAUCUGAGUUCAAACCGGCGUGAGCCAGGUUGGUUUCUAUCUAUUAAUAAUUUUAAUACUUUAGUACGAAAGGACCAAGUAUUAGGAAUAAUUUUUUUUUUGAUGAAUAAUAUUAAUGUAU